Long non-coding RNA from Amphiprion ocellaris (clown anemonefish), 5295 nucleotides. RefSeq lists it as uncharacterized. NCBI's taxonomy places the organism in Eukaryota, Metazoa, Chordata, Actinopteri, Pomacentridae. The transcript has 4 exons. The record is from RefSeq and is a predicted model, not a curated record.
CUGCCAUAUACAGUGCGUUUCUGCAGCAGCUGUCCCAUCUCACUGUAAGCCUGCCAUGUCUUAGAUCACACCUGUGUCAUCACACAACCCAUCAGGAAGCAGUUAACAUGGCUGCACAGCUCUUUGAUUGCACUGUUCCACUGAAGGUGUUUUCUUUUCAAGAUAAUACUGAUUAUGGGAGGAUCCCAAGGGUAAGUGAAGCUCCCUUUCAACGAGUGACUCAUUUCCGCAGCCUGCUGUGUUUCAAUCAAGCAACAGCCAUUUUCGAGAAAAAAAUUCCAGGGUGGGUCUUCAUCUGACCUUUGACCUUUACAGCAAAAUUUUUAAGGUUAAAAGCCAGGCUCUUCAGGUUUUACAGAACAAUAAAACAUUUCUAGACCAGUGGCAGUUCAGGAGGAGAGCUCUAAAAUAGCAGCCAGUUAUCAUUUGACUUCAGAUUGGGCAGGAAAUGGUGAGUUUUGCUAUUGCUGUUCCAGCGUUGGUGCUAUCACAGAGUCAGCACAAUGUCCAGAGUCCCUUAUUCCAGGAAACAGGCCUGCAAGCAUGUGUCUAUUGGUGAUGUGUGGAUAACCAUCGUUGUUCCACUCAUAACUAGAAGAGAACCUCUCAUUAUAUUGCAAGUUGAGGUUAAAUUGGUAUAUUAGUUGCAUGUCCUGCAAUAGCCUUGCAACAUUUUGCCUUUUGGUAAUGGAAAUUGUUAUAAACUCAUAUUGUUUGUUAAAUCGUUUGCUCAGUGCUGACGAUUUUUCCAGCUGCCCUGACAUUCCACAUAGCUUUCAGCUCCAUAAUGCUCUCAGUACCAAACAGGCAAAACAGGAAGCUGGACAUGAGUAACACCACUUCCUUCAAAGUUUUCAAUACUUUUUAACUGUUUGCUUCCCAAAUUCAACCUUAGACAAGAGUGAAAUCUGAAAAUGUAGAACACAAUGUUGCAUGGAAGCUUUAUCUUAUGUAAAAUGCUGUAAAAUUUAAAUCAAGACAUGAAGCUUGAAACUCCUCAGUCCAUUUCCAUUGCAGAGACAAACUGAUGUCAUGCCUGCAGUCGAGUGUCUCCUUUCUGCUGACAUUUAGGAAGCUUUAAAAACACAGAUAAGGGUUUUACUGCCUAAUGACAGUAUGCUAGAGUUUUCACGUUGCACUGUGGACCUUGUUUCUUGUAUCAUGCUGAACCAUCUGGAGUCGACCUGUCUAUCUGGGAAGCCAUGAGCAGGGUGCCAUCAUGUAUGGAGGGGGUAGGAAGUCAAUACAACGUGCACCAACCCCCCAGGAAAGCUCCAUGUCUGCUUGCCAGUUGCACAUCCUCUGGGCCUUUUCAGUCAACUCCACAGGAAGAAGUAGAUGACUUGUGCAAUGUCAGUAAUGACUUUCUCUCCGCUUGUGUCUCAUCUGCCAUAUGCUGUUUUGCAUGUAUAUAUGUGUGUAGUAUUGAUUAAGAUCCUCAAAAUCUUUGGUUGGGUUCUCCUGUUAUUCCUGUUCAAAAUUUUAAUUAUGCCAAAUAUAUCUGACUGAAUUUCAAAGAAAACAACUAUGGAACUGUAGACUUUGUAAGUACUUGAAAUUUAAAGUUCAUCACUCACCUUGGAAAUAGCACUUUACAAUGAUUUGCACCACCAGAUCCUCAACAGAUGGAAUUUUAUCAUAGAAAUAUUUUUCUUACAUCUGAUCUAUGUUGCAUUAUGCGAUACAACUGAAAACUCCUCCUAUCAUGGGUGUUGGUGCCAUAAUUUCAAAAAAGUAAGUUAUCACACAUAACUAAUCCAUCCAUCCAUCUAUUAUCUAUACACUGCUUUAGCCUCUAUAGGGUUGCAGUAGGGGGCUGGAGUCUAUGCCAGCUGACUUGAGGGGAAGGCAGGGUCCACCUUGGACAGGUCUAUUGCAGGGCUACACAGCAAGACAGACAACCAAGCACUCUUACUUUCACACAUACAGACAAUUUAGAAUCAUCAAUUAACCUCAGCAUGUCUGAAAACUUGCCCAAAGAGCACCUCACACAAACAUGCCUUGGCAAGAGCAAGGCUCAGCUGCAUGUUUAACAGCUGGCUCUGUCAGGUGGCUUUACUGCCUCAAAAAAAAAAAGAAAAGAAAAAGCAGUGAGUGUAACUGAUUAGUAUUUGUAAUGUGAUUCCUGAAUGAAGAAACUUACAAUACAAACAAAUGUAUGCAAUUAUAGUAAUGUGUUAGAUUGUGGUGUGCUGCCCCAACAGACUGUGUAUGUGAAGUCAUUAACGUGUUUAAAAAAUAGAAACUUGAACAUCUACAUUUCCAAGACAACUGGGCCAAUUUUCAAUAUGGUAUGACAAGAAGCUGCAGAUUGGCUGUUGUGGUGCUGAGAUUGUUUUUACAAACUACCUGAAGGAUAAUAAAGGUGAUUAUUAGGGUUAAAAUGUGUGACAUUCCUAUUCAGUGAAGACGAACUAAGCUACUGUAUGCUGCUGUGUUGUACAAAGGCAGUAGGCAGAAAUCUCAUGCUGAAAAUGGUUUCCAUUUGAUGGAUUUUCAGCUUGAGUUUUAUCUCUGUCAAGCUGCUCUGCUUUCUGUGUAGCUGGCACACAGCAGUGCCAUGCUCACCUUGCUCCUGGGCCUGCUCAGCUUGGUAUCUACACAGUCCAACAAUUGUGUAGCCCAGGGACGCUUUCAGCCUACAUCUAGAGUUUGCCUGCGAUCUUCCUCCGUUACAUCUGGCGGAGGAGCUGACUUUGGCUGCCGGAGUUGAGGUGCUUUAUCUCGCUGCCCAGUCCAACUGCUGUCUGAGUCCCUCCCUCCUGCAGGCAGCCCUGAAGCACUGGCAGCAGAUAAGAGAAGGGCCCACAGCAGCUCCGGUUUGAAAAGGAAAGGCUGUGAAGACACCAACUAUGUGGAAAUAUCAUUGCAUUCAUUCCUCACGGAGACAACCUUCAAAAGAACUUACUUUGAAAUAUGUCUUAGUAUAGCAAGUUAUCCAGGGACUCAGUAAAGAAGACAAAUAUGUAUGUAGGAGAAACUAGAAGUAUUUUCUUUGUAGUUUCACCCUGUAGUCAAUGAAAUCUUAGAGAGACAUACUGUACUUUUGAUUUCACUACAAUUGUCUGAAAACUAUAAUUUCUAGUAAGGGAGAUUCAACAUAUGAUCAGUUCUAAAUGCAAUGUAAAAGCUUACAAUAUACUAUUAGGUACGAAAGUAGUAUUUAAAAUAAAUAUUUAGUGUUUUAAAAUAAAUUUUAAAUUAAUAACAAAUCCUGACAGGGUGAAAGAGGUGAUUGUGCAUUAUCAAGGUUCUUUAAUUUUUCAUGUUUAAGAUAGUAUUUUGUGCUCACAGGUUAGGAUCUUAUGCAAAAAAAGUAUUAUACAAUAAUUUUUUGGGAUCUAAGGGAGGGUUCUGUUAGUCUGAAAAGAUCUAACCAUCCAACUUAAGGCAGCUGUGUAUGAAAAGCAUUUAAACAACAAUAACACAUUUGGAAGUAAAAUUAAACUAAGUAGGUAUUAUGACUAAGACAUUUAAUGAAAUAAGGAGAAAACAUUUAUCUCUCUAUUGUACUUGGAAAGAAGCAUAAAGUAGCAAUAAUAAGAAAUAUCUUACCGUAUGCACACAUACUGCAUCUACUAUGUAUAUAUAUUACUUAUGCAUCAUGUAUAUUACAAUAUUUUUGCAUUUUUGCAUUCUUACAUGAACUGUUUAGACUGUUAUUACUUCUUAACCUUUAUAUGUCUUUGGAUAGUCAUACUGCAAUUAAAUUUAUUCUGCUUAGACAUUUUACAUUGUAGUGCACUUAAACUGCUUGUUUUGCACUUCUGGUGAGAUGGUAAAUUGCAUUUCAUUACCUUACUAGCUGUAGUCUGUGCAGUGACAAUAAAACUGAAUCUAAUCUAAUCUUCAGAUGCAAGAUCUCUCAGAUGCAUUUAUACAGUUGGCUACUUUAGUUGAAUGCACCACUGUUCACCAGAAUGAGAUGUUUUUCACAACUUUUUAUAACACUUUUGGAUUGAUGUCUUAUAACUUACCUGUGCAACACUAGCAAAUGCUUUAUUAACUCUUAAGUCACUGAUCACAACUAAUGGUUCCAAAACCCCUACAGAAGUCACGAUACAACACAUUUUAAACACUCUCUUUUCAUACAUGGUCAAAUGAGACUGCUGUCGCCUAAUUAUCAGAGCAAACAAACAAAUCCUGAGCACUGUUCCCUCUAAGAUGCGCGCGUGCGCAAUUGCGCACUGCUGACACUCCACGCACAGAAAAUCUGCGCUGCGCACAAAAAAAAUCCAACCUAAAUUGUAAAUAAAAUAAACACGUAACAAUUCAUUCUGUGCUAUUUUUCAAUGUGAGUCAGUCAGUGACCGGUGGCUGGCUGCUGCAGCCAAUGAUGCGAUUCACAUACGUAUUUACCAUAGACUGUAUAUAAUGGUAUUUACACAGCUAAUCAACGUCAGGCGUCCUUAUGUGUAGCCACCGUUGUUCUCAUAGAUAUGAAUGAGUAGAUAGGACACGCCCCUUUGAGCUGCGGCUACAGCGAGGCUAAGCUAGUGGGGACAAAGUUUCAGUGCAUUCAGUUGAUGUAGACGGCGUGAAAACGGAAACAAGUAUGCCGUCUCACUGUGCUGCAUACAGUUACACACUACGUCGUACGAUUGAGACAAGGAAACUUGGAAUGACUUUUCAUAGGUUUCCCAGAGACUAUGGGUUGAGGAGGAAGUGGAAGUUUGUCGGCUUAGACCUGGUUUCAUUCCAUCAGUGUUUAACUUCCUGGCUCAUCUUUGAAGAGUACGUGCCAGAAAGACCACAACCAAGCAGCCUUGAGAUCUUAGGCAAUGUCUCCCUCAGGUCCCUCUCUAUCUCCCCACACAUCCACCAACCACUGGAACACAUCUCCAAAGUUCUGCCGGGCCAGCUCAGCUUCCCCUCAGAAGAAGUUCCGCUAGAUGAAGGAGCCUUUUGAGAGGCAGCUGGCAUCGUGAUUGGACUGUACUUUGGUCUGUUCCAAUCCAGCUUCAGCUCCAGAGACGGCAGGCGGGACGAGUCAACGGAGGCCUGGUGGACGAAGGCAUGCAGCUGAGUACAAUCCAGAAAACAACAGAGGAGGAGUGCAGUGGCCCAGGGCCAGAACAAACAGAGUAGCAUCGUUUGUCUCUGAGAAAACAUCAUAGUAUAGCCUUUGGUAUGAAAAAACGCCAUCAUAUACAUCGUAUAUUGUACAAAUAACAAGUCAAAGGAAAGAGACAUCAACUGUAGAAUUGUAGUAAUUGUGGGCUGACUGAUUUACUGAUUAUCAGUAUUUUAUUUUUUACUGAUUUAUGGUAAUAAAUACAUUUAAAAAUGGUGCUA